UACGUAGGGUGCGAGCGUUGUCCGGAAUUACUGGGCGUAAAGAGCUCGUAGGUGGUUUGUCGCGUUGUUCGUGAAAACUCACAGCUCAACUGUGGGCGUGCGGGCGAUACGGGCAGACUGGAGUACUGCAGGGGAGACUGGAAUUCCUGGUGUAGCGGUGGAAUGCGCAGAUAUCAGGAGGAACACCGGUGGCGAAGGCGGUUCUCUGGGCAUUACCUGACGCUGAGGAGCGAAAGCGUGGGGAGCAAACAGG
Molecule: ribosomal RNA, 253 nt
Filed under: uncultured bacterium
Lineage: Bacteria
Description: partial 16S ribosomal RNA
Rfam family: Bacterial small subunit ribosomal RNA
Source: RNAcentral